This is a long non-coding RNA of Silurus meridionalis, 579 nucleotides long. RefSeq lists it as uncharacterized. The transcript is spliced from 3 exons. The record is from RefSeq and is a predicted model, not a curated record. Lineage: Eukaryota; Metazoa; Chordata; Actinopteri; Siluriformes; Siluridae.
GAUGAUUAUUUCCGAACCGAAAAUCUAUACCCCAUAAUGCAGUAAUUAAGGGGUUUUAUGAAUCAAAAUGCUAAAUUCCCACCAUGCAAUAUUGUAGUUUAAAGUCCAAGUCAAAACUCACUUUGCACUUAACAGGGAGAAGUGGAUCAUUUCCUGCAGUGCAGCAUUACAAGAUUGGAUUGUAAGAAUAUCUAAGGAAUCUAAAACGGAAACAACUCUGAUUGGUCACAUCAGAUCAGUCUUCAGAGAGAGCAAUUUGAAGUGAGCUUGCUUGUCUAACUUUGACCUUCUCACAAGCCUCAGACAGAUACUGAAAGAGAGCCGGAGCAGGGGAUCAAAUCUCUCUCUUCGUGAGUGGGUGACAUUUACCAGAAAGACCAUGACCCUUCACUUUUAAUCAGCCAUCCGUCCUCUCUUGCAUGUCUCCAUCCCUGCAGUAGAUCCUAAUGUGCUGGAGAGGGGUCAGGGGCAAGCUAAAAAUAAUCUAAUACCCAAAGGCCGACCCCACACCCUUUAUAUAUGCAGUUAUCUGCUCCAGUGGAGUGUUUGGAUCAGGCACCAUGACAGCUGAAGCAAACA